This 465-nucleotide ribosomal RNA is filed under the name uncultured bacterium. Its description in RNAcentral is "partial 16S ribosomal RNA". It matches the Rfam family "Bacterial small subunit ribosomal RNA", at positions 338 to 795 of the family's 1533-position model. The record is from RNAcentral.
CCUACGGGAGGCAGCAGUGGGGAAUUUUGCGCAAUGCUCGUAAGAGUGACGCAGCGACGCCGCGUGAAUGACGAAGGCCUUCGGGUCGUAAAGUUCUUUCGACAGGGAAGAAAAUGCCUAUAAGUAACUGUGUAUGUAUUGACGGUACCUGUAUAAGCAGCCCCGGCUAACUCCGUGCCAGCAGCCGCGGUAAUACGGAGGGGGCGAGCGUUGUGCGGAGUGGGGGGGCGUAAAGAGCACGUAGGCGGUGUUGUAAGUCAUUAGUCAAAGACUAGAGCUCAACUUUAGUAAGGCUAGUGAUACUAUAAUACUAGAGUAUAAGAGAGGAUUGCAGAAUUCCUGGUGUAGCGGUGAAAUGCGUAGAUAUCAGGAGGAAUACCGUUAGCGAAGGCGGCAAUCUGGAUGGAAACUGACGCUGAGGUGCGAAAGCGUGGGUAGCAAACAGGAUUAGAUACCCUUGUAGUC